This 497-nucleotide ribosomal RNA is filed under the name uncultured bacterium. RNAcentral's name for it is "partial 16S ribosomal RNA". It matches the Rfam family "Bacterial small subunit ribosomal RNA", at positions 28 to 507 of the family's 1533-position model. The record is from RNAcentral.
GAUGAACGCUGGCGGCGUGCCUAAUACAUGCAAGUCGAGUGAACGGACGAGAAGCUUGCUUCUCUGAUGUUAGCGGCGGACGGGUGAGUAACACGUGGAUAACCUACCUAUAAGACUGGGAUAACUUCGGGAAACCGGAGCUAAUACCGGAUAAUAUUUUGAACCGCAUGGUUCAAAAGUGAAAGACGGUCUUGCUGUCACUUAUAGAUGGAUCCGCGCUGCAUUAGCUAGUUGGUAAGGUAACGGCUUACCAAGGCAACGAUGCAUAGCCGACCUGAGAGGGUGAUCGGCCACACUGGAACUGAGACACGGUCCAGACUCCUACGGGAGGCAGCAGUAGGGAAUCUUCCGCAAUGGGCGAAAGCCUGACGGAGCAACGCCGCGUGAGUGAUGAAGGUCUUCGGAUCGUAAAACUCUGUUAUUAGGGAAGAACAUAUGUGUAAGUAACUGUGCGCAUCUUGACGGUACCUAAUCAGAAAGCCACGGCUAACUACGUG